This is a long non-coding RNA of Cucumis sativus (cucumber), 1257 nucleotides long. RefSeq lists it as uncharacterized. The transcript is spliced from 2 exons. NCBI's taxonomy places the organism in Eukaryota, Viridiplantae, Streptophyta, Magnoliopsida, Cucurbitales, Cucurbitaceae. The record is from RefSeq and is a predicted model, not a curated record.
AUGGAAUUUCAUUCGUGAGCUUUUACAUCGUUUGCCUUUUUAUAUUUGGUUGGUAAACUUUGAAGUUUGCAUUUUCUGUUGUUUCUCAAUUACAAAUCUGAUUCAGUACCCUGUUUGUCUAUUAUGUCUAAUUCUGGUACUGAAAACUUGUCUAAGCUUGGUUGGCUUUGGAGGGGAAAAUGGUAGGCAGCGGUGAGAGAGGGAACUUAUAUUGAGGUGUGCAUAAUUGGGUUAUGUUAUUUUGUGCAAAAUCCUUUGUGCAUCAAGUAACUUGUUUCUUUUUGUCUUGUUCAUUGUGAUCGCUACUCUUUCCUGUAAAAAAAAGACGUGACCGCUACUCUUUGGUGCUUCAUGAUGGGCUUUGCUCGUUAUGCAUAUAGCAACAUUGAGAUCCUGAAUCCACAUGGAAGAGGCAGUUUCCUGCGGCUCAGUUAUUUAAGCAAGACAGGGAAAGAUACAAGUGUUGUUUGGAAGAAGAAUGUAUAUUAUUGGUUUUCAUUGAAAUUUUGGAUGGUUAUAGAGGAACCUGGUCUCAUUUAGUCUUACUAUGUAGUGUAGGUUAAUACUUUCUUUUUUCCUUUUAUCCUUUUUCCCUUUUAGCUUCAUUUCCUAUCUUCUUUCUAUGUUUAUUUCUUGCUGUACAAUGGUUCUAAAUAUUAACCUCUUUGUUAGGUAAUCAUCUCAAAUGUGUGUGUGUGUGUGUAAAAUAACCACCUAUAGAAUACCACCUAAGAAUUGUUUUGAAAAGCCUUCAAAAUCGAAGCCACAAAGAAACAUGAUAUUUAAGAAGGGAUAAAAUCUUGCUAGGGACCCUCUCCACACCUCUAAAUUCUAUUCUUCCGCUCACUCCACACUGCCUACAAGAUAGCAGACACACUCGGAAGCCAUAGAAAGUGGCAUUUCUCCCCAUGGGGCAAGUUAAGAAGGGAAUUCUUGAGCAACGCUCCAACAUCUGUGUGCCUUGCAACCAUAAUGCAAAAAGUUUGAAACAAAGAAUCACAAACCAAGCUGACUAACUCACAACGACAAAGAAUGUGCUCUGCUCUUCCUCAGCCUUGACAAAGAAUGCAAUAGAAAGGACCCAUGAAGGAAGGCAACUUCCUCUUAAGUCGAUCCAUCAUGUUAGCCUAGCCAAGAACUCCUCAAAAGGAUCAGGUUCCAGAUCCUCACAUCUCUUCUCCCAAGUCUAGAAGGGUGACCCUAAAGUAAAGAAAGAAGAGCAGCCACCACCACCAUUUCUCACGACAGAACCUGAAA